CUCCGGUGAUCCCUGCCGGACCCGACUGCUAUCAGAGUGGGACUAAGCCAUGCGAGUCGACGUAGCAAUGCGUGGCGAACGGCUCAGUAACACGUAGUCAACAUGCCCAGGGGACGUGGAUAACCUCGGGAAACUGAGAAUAAACCACGAUAGGUCACGAUUUCUGGAAUGGAUCAUGGCCUAAAUCUACAUGGCCCCUGGAUUGGACUGCGGCCGAUCAGGCUGUUGGUGAGGUAAUGGCCCACCAAACCUAUAACCGGUACGGGCUCUGAGAGGAGAAGCCCGGAGAUGGGCACUGAGACAAGGGCCCAGGCCCUAUGGGGCGCAGCAGGCGCGAAACCUCUGCAAUAGGCGAAAGCCUGACAGGGUUACUCUGAGUGAUUUCCGCUAAGGGGAUCUUUUGGCACCUCUAAAAAUGGUGCAGAAUAAGGGGUGGGCAAGUCUGGUGUCAGCCGCCGCGGUAAUACCAGCACCCCGAGUGGUCGGGACGAUUAUUGGGCCUAAAGCAUCCGUAGCCGGUUCUGCAAGUCUUCCGUUAAAUCCAGCCGCUCAACGGAUGGGCCGCGGAGGAUACUACAGGACUAGGAGGCGGGAGAGGCAAGCGGUACUCAGUGGGUAGGGGUAAAAUCCUUUGAUCCAUUGAAGACCACCAGUGGCGAAGGCGGCUUGCCAGAACGCGCUCGACGGUGAGGGAUGAAAGCUGGGGGAGCAAACCGGAUUAGAUACCCGGGUAGUCCCAGCUGUAAACGAUGCAGACUCGGUGAUGGGCUAGCCUUGUGCCAGCCCAGUGCCGCAGGGAAGCCGUUAAGUCUGCCGCCUGGGGAGUACGGUCGCAAGACUGAAACUUAAAGGAAUUGGCGGGGGAGCA
RNAcentral lists this ribosomal RNA (868 nucleotides) under uncultured archaeon. RNAcentral's name for it is "bacterial SSU rRNA". It matches the Rfam family "Archaeal small subunit ribosomal RNA", at positions 1 to 878 of the family's 1478-position model. The record is from RNAcentral.